UAAGGAAUAUUGCUCAAUGGGAGAAAUCCUGAAGCAGCAACGCCGCGUGGAGGAUGAAGGGUCUAUGACUUGUAAACUCCUGUAAAGAAGGAAAAAAUUCCCAUUAGAUGGGAGAUGAUGGUACUUCUGGAGUAAGCCCCGGCUAACUACGUGCCAGCAGCCGCGGUAAUACGUAGGGGGCAAGCGUUGUCCGGAUUUACUGGGUGUAAAGGGUGCUCAGGCGGAUUUGUAAGUCAGAGGUGAAAUCUUACAGCUUAACUGUGAAACUGCCUUUGAUACUGCAACCCUAGAGUAUGGAAGAGAGUGAUGGAAUAUCUGGUGUAGCAGUGAAAUGCGUAGAUAUCAGAUAGAACACCAAUGGCGAAGGCAGUCACUUGGUCCAUUACUGACGCUAAAGCACGAAAGCGUGGGUAGCAAACA
This 420-nucleotide ribosomal RNA is filed under the name uncultured bacterium. Its description in RNAcentral is "bacterial SSU rRNA". It matches the Rfam family "Bacterial small subunit ribosomal RNA", at positions 355 to 774 of the family's 1533-position model. The record is from RNAcentral.